UACGAAGGGGGCUAGCGUUGUUCGGAAUUACUAGGCGUAAAGCGUGCGCAGGCGGCUUCUCAAGUCAGGGGUGAAAGCCCAGAGCUCAACUCUGGAAUUGCCUUUGAGACUGAGUGGCUUGAGUACGAGAGAGGUGAGUGGAAUUCCCAGUGUAGAGGUGAAAUUCGUAGAUAUUGGGAAGAACACCGGUGGCGAAGGCGGCUCACUGGCUCGUAACUGACGCUGAGGCGCGAAAGCGUGGGGAGCAAACAGG
Molecule: ribosomal RNA, 253 nt
Filed under: uncultured bacterium
Lineage: Bacteria
Description: partial 16S ribosomal RNA
Rfam family: Bacterial small subunit ribosomal RNA
Source: RNAcentral